RNAcentral lists this transfer RNA (75 nucleotides) under Nevskiaceae bacterium. RNAcentral's name for it is "tRNA-Val". It matches the Rfam family "tRNA". Rfam says of the family: Transfer RNA (tRNA) molecules are approximately 80 nucleotides in length. Their secondary structure includes four short double-helical elements and three loops (D, anti-codon, and T loops). Further hydrogen bonds mediate the characteristic L-shaped molecular structure. tRNAs have two regions of fundamental functional importance: the anti-codon, which is responsible for specific mRNA codon recognition, and the 3' end, to which the tRNAs corresponding amino acid is attached (by aminoacyl-tRNA synthetases). tRNAs cope with the degeneracy of the genetic code in two manners: having more than one tRNA (with a specific anti-codon) for a particular amino acid; and 'wobble' base-pairing, i.e. permitting non-standard base-pairing at the 3rd anti-codon position. The record is from RNAcentral. Lineage: Bacteria; Pseudomonadati; Pseudomonadota; Gammaproteobacteria; Nevskiales; Nevskiaceae.
AGUCGCGUAGCUCAGUGGUAGAGCACUUCCUUGACAUGGAAGUGGUCGGUGGUUCGCUCCCACUCGCGACUACCA